Non-coding RNA from Doryrhamphus excisus (bluestripe pipefish), 1070 nucleotides. The record is from RefSeq and is a predicted model, not a curated record. NCBI's taxonomy places the organism in Eukaryota, Metazoa, Chordata, Actinopteri, Syngnathiformes, Syngnathidae.
CGUCGGACAUCUUGUAGAGGAUGUACGCGUUGUUGAUGGCGAUGCUGAUGCUCAGCCAGAACACCUGCUGCCACGUCUUGUUGGGCUUGUGGAAGAUGAAGUACCUGACCAGCGAGAGCAAACGUAUACUUAUAUGUAGCUGAGGUGCGCCGCAAAGGCCUCCACCGCCAGAGGACACGGAACCUCGCCGCUUUUCCUCUUGAUGAUCAAACCUGCAGCAAACACAGAGUGGUGAUGAAGAUCGGGUCCUCGUCUAUCAAGGGUUCAUGGAGAACCUUCAAAAUAAGAUGAUAAUUUAUGUAGCACACCAGCCUCCCGUGCUGUGGAGCUGUCACGUCAACGCCAGCUGAGGAAAAACCCAACCAGGCAAAUGGGGAAAAUAUUCAGAGGACAACACCAUUCUUUUGUCCGCUCGAGGUUUGUCCGUCCGUCCGACCGCACCCACAGCAGUUGUGCAAACACUGAACACACACCUGCUGCUUCUCUAAGAGUCAAACAGGAGCAGGAUGCAAAACAUCCCGGAGUCACUCAUCGAUGCAACUUCCUACUCGGCUUUGUGUGAUUUACAACUGCAGGAUCCACGGAAAACGGGGCAAGACUGCGUAAAAGGCGCUUGUCAUUGCAACUGGCAUCAUAACUCUGCUUCUGAACACACCUCACACUCACCUGGUCUGCCAGGGAAUAAGAAAAUGUAGCAGGAGGGAUCCGUGUCGGUAUAUUUAUCAGGUAUUCAGGCCCUCUAGAUUGUAUUUCAAAGAAGCGACUAGCGACAAAUUAACUCCAGGGUCUUGUUUCAUGAAAUUAAUGACACCGUCUCAUCCGAGGCGUGUAGCAGCUCCAGCUAGCAAAAAGUUGGUAAACAACAGCUACAUUAUUCAUUCAUUUUCUACCGCUUAUCCUCACAAGGGUCGCGAGGGGUGCUGGAGCCUAUCCCAGCUGUCUUCGGGGCGAGAGGCGGGGUACACCCUGGACUGGUGGCCAGCCAAUCACAGGGCACAUAUAGACAAACAACCAUUCACACUCACAUUCAUACCUAUGGACAAUUUGGAGUCGCUAAUUAACCUAGCAUG